GACGAACGCUGGCGGCGUGCUUAACACAUGCAAGUCGAACGGAAAGGCCCUGCUUUUGUGGGGUGCUCGAGUGGCGAACGGGUGAGUAACACGUGAGUAACCUGCCCUUGACUUUGGGAUAACUUCAGGAAACUGGGGCUAAUACCGGAUAGGAGCUCCUGCUGCAUGGUGGGGGUUGGAAAGUUUCGGCGGUUGGGGAUGGACUCGCGGCUUAUCAGCUUGUUGGUGGGGUAGUGGCUUACCAAGGCUUUGACGGGUAGCCGGCCUGAGAGGGUGACCGGCCACAUUGGGACUGAGAUACGGCCCAGACUCCUACGGGAGGCAGCAGUGGGGAAUAUUGCACAAUGGGCGGAAGCCUGAUGCAGCAACGCCGCGUGCGGGAUGACGGCCUUCGGGCUGUAAACCGCUUUCGACUGUGACGAAGCGUGAGUGACGGUAAUGGGUAAAGAAGCACCGGCUAACUACGUG
Molecule: ribosomal RNA, 468 nt
Filed under: uncultured bacterium
Lineage: Bacteria
Description: partial 16S ribosomal RNA
Rfam family: Bacterial small subunit ribosomal RNA
Source: RNAcentral